GCAGGGUGGAGGGAGCAUCCUGGGGAAAGCAAAGGCCCUGCCUGGAGUGCUGGAGUCCAAGUGAGGCAAGGAGGGGAUCCAUGUGGGAGAGAGGCUGGUGGCAGAGACGGGAGAUUGGUUACACACAGGGAUACUGAUCAAAUAAAUCUACUGAAGACAGUGGGAGUUAGGUUUCCUAUUGUCAGAGAAGGAAGUUAUGUAUAUGGAGAGAAAACUGGAAUGAAUCCUGUUGUGUGGGAUUAAAAUCGGAAUGAUCAGUGUACCCUUGUGGCCUUGAAUACAUAAAGAUAAGUCCAUAUAUAUAGAUGGAAAUGUGUGUGUGUCUAGUCCCCACAGUCACUGGGGUGCCUGGAGCAGCCAGCCCCGCAUAGCCUGGAGCACUCCUAGCACCUGAAUACUGGCUUCUGAAUAUGACUUUCCACUAAAGGAACCAGAGCACCUUGGAGAAACGGCUGAUUCUAGCACUGGGAAGUAGGAGUGGGGUGCAGAAAAUGAGCCCGGAACUUGUUGUUCUGCCAGAAAACAAGGAAGUGCUUAAUGAAUAAUGGGAACACGUCAGUAGGACACAGAGCCAGCUUGAAGGAGCCUUCAGUGGUCAGAAUCAGGGACAAUUUGAGCACCAACAUAGUGACAGUAACAGAUGGGAAACCACCAGUGCACACAGAUAUAAAGAGAAAAAGAGCAACUUCAUGGUGAAGAAGGCUGGCAGACAUCACCUCAUCCGUGACCAAAGUAAACAUCAACAGGGCCAAUAAAAAGCUUGCAGCACCUGGGGGGCUGCAGUGAGAAUGUGGCAUCACUCCAUAGGACUCCGGCCAGAGAGACAUCAGACAAUCCCAAAUGGAGGAGCAUUCUGCAAAAUGACUGCCAGUAAUUUUCAAAGCUCCUAGCUGAGGAAGUGUUUCAGGCUGAAGGAGACUGAAGACACAGAACUAAAUGCAAUAUGUGAUUCUGGACUGGACCCUCCAUUCUCAAGGAUGCAAGUGGGACAACCAGAGAAAUCUGAUGGGGUCUGAGGAGCACAUGGCCGUGAUGUGUUGUCACAUGCUGCAUCAUGACAGUUCAGUCAACAACAGGCCACAUAUAUGAUAUGCUUCCAUAAGAUUAUAAUGGGGCAGAAAAAUUCCUAACACCUAGUGAUGUCAUAAAGGGUUGUAAAGUCACAGUGCAACUCAUUAUUCCCAAGUUUGUGGUGAUGCUGGUGUAAACAAAC
This 1213-nucleotide long non-coding RNA is filed under the name Pan troglodytes (chimpanzee). RNAcentral's name for it is "long non-coding RNA NONPTRT011900". Lineage: Eukaryota; Metazoa; Chordata; Mammalia; Primates; Hominidae. The record is from RNAcentral.